UACGUAGGGGGCAAGCGUUGUCCGGAAUCAUUGGGCGUAAAGCGAGCGUAGGCGGCCCGAUAAGUCUGCUGUAAAAGUCAACGGCUCAACCGUUGAAAGCCGGUGGAUACUGUCGGGCUAGAGUUCGGAAGAGGCAAGUGGAAUUCCUGGUGUAGCGGUGGAAUGCGCAGAUAUCAGGAGGAACACCUAUAGCGAAGGCAGCUUGCUGGGACGAAACUGACGCUAAGGCUCGAAAGCGUGGGGAGCGAACGGG
This 253-nucleotide ribosomal RNA is filed under the name uncultured bacterium. RNAcentral's name for it is "partial 16S ribosomal RNA". It matches the Rfam family "Bacterial small subunit ribosomal RNA", at positions 524 to 776 of the family's 1533-position model. The record is from RNAcentral.